This 241-nucleotide unclassified non-coding RNA is filed under the name uncultured fungus. RNAcentral's name for it is "sequence contains ITS1, 5.8S rRNA gene". The stretch from base 193 to 241 matches the Rfam family "5.8S ribosomal RNA", at positions 1 to 49 of the family's 154-position model. The record is from RNAcentral. Lineage: Eukaryota; Fungi.
UUUCCGUAGGUGAACCUGCGGAAGGAUCAUUACAGAGACAUUGCCCUUUGGGGUAGAUCUCCCACCCUGUGUAUUAUAUACCUUUUGUUGCUUUGGCGGGCCGCCUCGGCCACCGGCUCCGGCUGGUGCGUGCCCGCCAGAGGACCCCAAACUCUGAAUGUUAGUGUCGUCUGAGUACUAUCUAAUAGUUAAAACUUUCAACAACGGAUCUCUUGGUUCUGGCAUCGAUGAAGAACGCAGC